GACGGUGAGUAACACGUGAGAAUGUACCCCAGAGUGAGGAAUAACUGCCCGAAAGGGUGGCUAAUACCGCAUACGGUCUUUCGGAUUAAAGCCUUCGGGCGCUUUGGGAACAGCUUGCGUACGAUUAGAUAGUUGGUGGGGUAAAGGCUCACCAAGUCAACGAUCGUUAACUGGUCUGAGAGGAUGAUCAGUCAGACUGGAACUGAGAUACGGUCCAGACUCUACGGGAGGCAGCAGUGAGGAAUCUUCCACAAUGGGGGCAACCCUGAUGGAGCAACGCCGCGUGCAGGAUGAAGGCCUUCGGGUCGUAAACUGCUUUUAUAGGUGAAUAAUAUGAAUGUAGCUUAUGAAUAAGCACCGGCUAACUACGUGCCAGCAGCCGCGGUCAUACGUAGGGUGCAAGCAUUAUCCGGAGUGACUGGGCGUAAAGAGUUGCGUAGGUGGUUUGUCAAGUGAAUAGUGAAAUCUGGUGGCUCAACCACACAGACUAUUAUUCAAACUGGCAAACUCGAGAAUAGCAGAGGUAACUGGAAUUUCUAGUGUAGGAGUGAAAUCCGUAGAUAUUAGAAGGAACACCAAUGGCGUAGGCAGGUUACUGGGCUAUUUCUGACACUGAGGCACGAAAGCAUGGGGAGCGAACCGGAUUAGAUACCCGGGUAGUCCAUGCUGUAAACGAUGGAUACUAGCUGUUAGAGGUAUCGACCCCUUUAGUAGCGUAGCUAACGCGUUAAGUAUCCCGCCCUGUGGAGUACGGUCGCAAGACUAAACAUUAAGGAUUGACGGGACCCGCACAA
This 794-nucleotide ribosomal RNA is filed under the name uncultured bacterium. RNAcentral describes it as "bacterial SSU rRNA". It matches the Rfam family "Bacterial small subunit ribosomal RNA", at positions 100 to 928 of the family's 1533-position model. The record is from RNAcentral.